RNAcentral lists this ribosomal RNA (4833 nucleotides) under Triticum aestivum (bread wheat). Its description in RNAcentral is "partial small subunit ribosomal RNA". The record is from RNAcentral. Lineage: Eukaryota; Viridiplantae; Streptophyta; Magnoliopsida; Poales; Poaceae.
GAGGUAACGUUAGCCCGGACCGUGUAGAGUAGAGAGAGAGAGGGAACGGAGGAAGAGGUGGAGGCCGACAGCGGCGCCGGUCCGGCCGCACCACCACGCGGAGGCGUGGUAGUCGUGUGGGUGGUGUUUGUAGGUGGUGAGUGGUGGUUGAAGUAGGUGGUCGCGGUGGUAGAGUUCGGUGGCGGCGUGGAGCGCGCGGGCUGGUCUGUUCCCGCUCGUGCCCGCAUACCAGGAGGCGCACUGGAGAGGGAGAGGCGGCUAGGAGAGAGGGACUACGGGGACGACGAGGAAGAGAAACGCGGAGGAAACGGCUAAGAGACGAGACUUGGAGUUCAACGACGACGGUGAAGAAGAGACUUGGGUUUGAAACGACAAACGACGAGGAGAAAGAAACGACGACGAAGAAGAAGAGUGCGGGGACGACGAAGAGAGGAGUGCAGGGACGACGAAAAGAGGAGUGCAGGGACGACGACGAGGUAAGGGUUAGAACGACAACAAGAGAGAGAGAGAGAGAGAGAGAGAGAGAGAGAGUUUAAAGACAUUAGAAGUCUUCACAGUAUUGAUCAUGAUACAUUACAAGUCAGAACUAUUAACAUCAUAGGACGACGAACCAAGUCAAAGCUUAAAUAUUAUAUUUACGAACUAAUCAUACGGACUCAUCAACUAUGGAAGAGUGAAUCUCUUCAUGAACUAGACAAUAUGAAACAAAUCACUUUAUCAUUAGAAGUAUACACACACCACAGGACACUAUAUAUGUAUACACACACAAACACUACACUACGUAUAUAAGACAGGAUGUUGGAACAAAGAAGGGAGACAGUAUGAACAACAAUAAUAUACAUAAGAACAGAACAACUAAAGGAAAACAACAAAUUCAUCAUUUUGGACACGAUCAUAAAAUCAAAGAGUUCAUUACUUUUAUGGUUUUUCUAUAACUCAUUUUAGACUUAAAGGGAAACGACAAACAGCAAAAGAAACAGUUGCUAGAAACGUUUGUUGGAACAAUCAAAUCCAAAAUAAAAGUCAAAAGUAGUGGGUUAAGACACAGUGGAUCGAAAUCGGCUCGCAAGAACGGCAGCGGAUCAGGGACACCUCUUGUGCUGUAGGCAUCAAACCCGCAUUUUUGGGACGAUAUAAUGUUAGCUAGUAAAACCGCGGCAACGGCCCCUGAUCGCAGCACGCUGGCACAAUCCGAUAUCUGAUCCAAAACGAAGACAAAGAUAGAUCACGGUAUAUAAACACUAUAUAGAGAAUGGGGAUUAGUGACAAGAUCAAUAGAAGAGAAAGAAAAGAACAAGUAAAACAUACAAUUUAGCAGAAGAACCUUUACCGUAAGAUGAGUCUAGUAGUACGGAUACGCUCGUUGUGAUGUUUGUCGUGCCUUUCAUAAGUUCUGGACUAUUCAUUCUAAAGGGUAGCUAAUCUACUAAAUCGAGCCGUCGCUCUUCAUCAAAAACUCCUAUCCGGAUCGAGAAUACUAGGAAUAAGAUCUCCAGUAGGAAUACAACGAGGAUGUACGAUAUAAACACCUAAAGUCCCGGUAAGUGGGCAACUUACAGUCGCACCAAUGAGAGUGGGAGGUCUAACAAAACCGUACUCGAAGCGAGUUCUCGUAUAGAGUAUGGUUUUGUUAAUGAGUGUACCCACCGGACUUUUGGGCUUAUACAGUAUAUCCUCGUUGUUGGGACUCUAGAGUAACAAACGGAGAUCAAUAGGUUACGUCCCUAAAUCCAUGUUACUCCUCUCGGUGUUGAUACGUGGUGUUUUUAAAGUAAGUCGAGGAUGAGUAUAUGGUGUCAUGGUCCUCUACACAGGUCACCUCAAUUUACCAGGAGGUAAACCAGUUGGUCGUUGAGGCCGUGGACAACACGUUAGAGUACACGUUCACGGGUGUGUUCUACUCAAGCUACUGUAUCUGUUCGAGUGUGAAAACUCAGAGCUCAAGUGAACCUCACGGCUCCUACUAGGAUAAUCCUUCCAAUAUGAUCUCCUUUACUUCUUCUAAUUCUCACCUUUCCUCGAUCACCUUCUUCAUUCUUUCUAACUCUUCUUGUAGUUGCGACCGUCAUGAUAGAGAAGGGAGGAACUCAACUCACAACAACCCUAUAGGGAACUCCACACACUCCAAGGUUGUGGAAGUGUAAGUCGACUCGUUCUAUCGCUCUCAGGUCUCCUUCUCUAUGAAGUCUAGGUUCUUCUUUAAGAACUUCGGUUCCGUGUUCUACUAGGUCUCGAGCUUAUGGGUUUACUUGUCCAACUUCUAGGUUACAGAUGGUGAGGGUUUCUUCAUCUUCUUCGACAACAUCAACUUCUACUUCUUGGUCUUUAAGCAAAAGGAUAACAGUAUGUUCUCACACUACAUCGUCCAAAUAGAUUAGGAGAACUACUGUACGCAGGUAUACUAGACAAACGGUGAUAAAACGUAACGUACUAUGGUAGUUAAUUCGAUCUGAACUUUUUUACAAACGAACUUGUACUAGUAUGUAUGAGACAAUAACCGUAAAGAGAGUAAAUACUACUACUGUGAAUAAAAGGAGUACGAUCUGGAUACGAAUUACUAUUUAUAGUAGGAGUACAAUCAUAACGCGAACGACUAAAGAUAGUAUGAGCAGUACAAGAUAUAAGGAUACGAAUAUGUUAACCUAUAAGCUAACUGCUGAAUCUCCCGUAGAUGGGAUAGUGAACAUCAGCAACAAACACACUCAGGAUAAAGUCCAAAGACGAACACGUGUUUAGUUAUGUACGACUGGUCCAAGCUCCACUGUAGGGAACCCUAGGGCCACCUCAGUCUCGUACCGCUACUCCUCUUCGUUCCCCGUGUGUACUUCUUCUCACUUCGACCUCGUACGUGCUCCUUCGUUUCCUCUUCUCGACGUCGAAUCUCUCACUAGUUCGCUCACAAUGAAUUAUCACGGGCCACUCGACAAAAUACUGGGUAAAACUUGUAGUAUUUAUGUACGACUUAAGUUAACGAUCAACCCAACGAACUCGGUCAAUAAUGAACAACAGUUCGACUUUAAGUGGAAACCGUAGCACGAACUACACUUAAACACUUGAACUAAAGACUUACGGAACAUUUGAUCACUAGAUGUGGUACGUACGAACCGACUUUAAUCACUCUUGAUAAUCAAAACUCACGAGUUUAGGGAUCAUGUGAUCUUUUGAAGCAGUAAAAGACGUAAAUGAUACUAUGUGGAUCUAUUGGUACAAAUCUACGACUUAAACACGCUUCACACAAGGGUAACUCUCGUUAGUGGAUUGGUGAUACCUAAUCGUACGAUACAAGGGACCUAGUCAUCGUACACUUGGUCUGUACCUCUUCACUCCUAAGGAAAAAAACACGAAUACACAACAAGUAAUUUUUUAUAUAGAAUAUUACUUAUUAAUAGACUAGAAUGGAUUGUCAUCGUACAGUACAAGGGAUCUAACCACCGAACACUUUAGACCAACCUAGCCUAUCCUCAAUUAAUAUAAUUUUUUUACAUUAACAGCUUGGUCCACAUAUGGUACAAGAGUCCUAGCCACCAUACAAGGAAACCCCUCUGCUUGUUUUUUUUUGAUUUUUAACCAGCUCGGUCCACAUAUGGUACAAGAGCCCUAACCACCAUACAAGGAAACCACUCUGGCCAUUUUAUAAUAGUAACAACGAAGGAGGUUUAGGUUAUUCACCAAGAUGGUGUUACAAUACAAGGAUCAUUAUCCACAGAGAACCCUAGUACGAGAGAAAUCCUUGGAAAACCGUGUUAGUCGUAAACUUGAACAAUUAGAAGAAAAUAGUAACAUUUUCAAAUUUUACUAAAUCAAAUGAUCACAGGAUAACGAAACAUCGUGAGGAUUGUUAAUUAAAAGUGAUUGGUUCAGACUUCGUACGUCACAAAUCUCUAGAUGAAGUGAACUGUAAAAGAUAAGUCAAGUGAUAAGUGAUAGAACGAGAACAGUAUAAGGAAACGAACUCCUGUUCGUUUCUAAAUUCACACCCCCUUGAACUAUUCGUGUAAAGUAUAUAUAUUAAAACUGUGUGUUUAAGUGGUAAAGAACUCUACACUGGUAGAUAAGAACGUUUCUUAAUAGCUUAUAACGUACUUUUAGUAUAUCUUCCUAACAACUGAUCAGUGAACAAAUAAAACGUCUUUUCACGCUGUUCCGUGUUUUGAGAAGAUGAUGUUUACUAGUUCACUACCUCAGUUCCUCGACUCGCACUUCCUUUCUUCAUUGGCUCCCCGGUUUGAUUUCUACCCUCCUGGUUGAACCCUUCUUUCUUCCUUCCUCCCGGUUUCACUUUUGUAAGUCUAGACUAGCCCUCCCCUAGUUUUAGGGAUCGGCGUAGAGGUAACGUUAGCCCGGACCGUGUAGAGUAGAGAGAGAGGGGAUGGAGGAGGUGGAGCCCGGCGGCGGCGCCGGUCCGGCCGCACCACCACGCGGAGGCGUGGUAGUCGUGUGGGUGGUGUUUGUAGGUGGUGAGUGGUGGUCGCGGUGGUAGAGUUCGGUGGCGGCGUGGAGCGCGCGGGCUGGUCUGUUCCCGCUCGUGCCCGCAGACCAGGAGGCGCACUGGAGAGGGAGAGGCGGCUAGGAGAGAGGGACUACGGGGACGACGAGGAAGAGAAACACGGAGGAAACGUCUAAGAGACGAGACUUGGAGUUCAACGACGACGGUGAAGAAGAAGAGACUUGGGUUUGAGACAACAAACGACGAGGAGAAAGAAACGACGACGAAGAAGAAGAGUGCGGGGGACGACGAAGAGAGGAGUGCAGGGACGACGAAAAGAGGAGUGCAGGGACGACGAAGAGGUAAGGGUUAGAACGACGACAAGAGAGAGAGAGAGAGAGAGAGAG